AACGAACGCUGGCGGCAUGCCUAACACAUGCAAGUCGAACGAGACCUUCGGGUCUAGUGGCGCACGGGUGCGUAACGCGUGGGAAUCUGCCCUUGGGUUCGGAAUAACAGUUAGAAAUGACUGCUAAUACCGGAUGAUGUCUUCGGACCAAAGAUUUAUCGCCCAGGGAUGAGCCCGCGUAGGAUUAGCUUGUUGGUGGGGUAAAGGCCUACCAAGGCGACGAUCCUUAGCUGGUCUGAGAGGAUGAUCAGCCACACUGGGACCGAGACACGGCCCAGACUCCUACGGGAGGCAGCAGUGGGGAAUAUUGGACAAUGGGCGAAAGCCUGAUCCAGCAAUGCCGCGUGAGUGAUGAAGGCCUUAGGGUUGUAAAGCUCUUUUACCCGGGAUGAUAAUGACAGUACCGGGAGAAUAAGCCCCGGCUAACUCCGUG
This 433-nucleotide ribosomal RNA is filed under the name uncultured bacterium. RNAcentral describes it as "partial 16S ribosomal RNA". It matches the Rfam family "Bacterial small subunit ribosomal RNA", at positions 29 to 507 of the family's 1533-position model. The record is from RNAcentral.